GCGAGUGAAGCGGGAAGAGCUCAAAUUUGAAAUCUGGCAGUCUUCGAUUGUCCGAGUUGUAAUCUAUAGAGGCGUUUUCCGUGCCGGACCGUGUCCAAGUCUCCUGGAAAGGAGUAUCAAAGAGGGUGAUAAUCCCGUACUUAACACGACCACCGGUGCUCUGUGAUACGUCUUCUACGAGUCGAGUUGUUUGGGAAUGCAGCUCAAAAUGGGUGGUGAAUUCCAUCUAAAGCUAAAUAUUGGCGAGAGACCGAUAGCGAACAAGUACCGUGAGGGAAAGAUGAAAAGCACUUUGGAAAGAGAGUUAAACAGUACGUGAAAUUGUUGAAAGGGAAACGAUUGAAGUCAGUCGUGUUCUUUGGAUUCAGCCAGUUCUGCUGGUCUACUUCCUUUGAACGGGUCAACAUCAGUUUUGUCCGGUGGAUAAAGGUAGUAGGAAUGUGACUUCUCCGGAAGUGUUAUAGCCUAUUAUCACAUACACUGGGUGAGACUGAGGACUGCAGCUCGCCUUUAUGGCCGACCUUCGGGUACGUUCGAGCUUAGGAUGUUGACAUAAUGGCUUUAAACGACCC
Molecule: ribosomal RNA, 572 nt
Filed under: Trichosporon insectorum
Lineage: Eukaryota; Fungi; Basidiomycota; Tremellomycetes; Trichosporonales; Trichosporonaceae
Description: eukaryotic LSU rRNA
Rfam family: Eukaryotic large subunit ribosomal RNA
Source: RNAcentral